CGUGGGUGUUGGGUAUUAUGUCUCAGGCACAAGAAAACUGAUUAAUAUACUUUAUCUCCCAUCAACAAAAUGACCAUCCGAAGCUUCCUUCCAAGGCUACAAUGAUACAUUUCUUACCAGCGAUGACCUUGCCCCUACAGAAUGUUCUUUCAGUUCUCAGCUAUGUCAAAGGGCAAAUGAGUUAGUCAUUCAGUCUGCCAGGGUUUGCAUCCAUAAAAUGGGGAUAAGGAGCUGUUUGGGGCUCAGUUGUCAGCACCUCACUCUAAAAGAUGUUUGAAGGGGCGAUCUCUGGGUACUCAGAGCAAAGAUCCUAAAAUGAACAGGGCAAACCCUGCAAAAGCCACAUCCUAAUGUGAUCUGAACACUUUCAUUUCUGUAGUGUGUUCCACUUAGUUUUUCAGUGAUGGGUAUUUUGUAGAAGAACCUGAACAAGUCCUUUACCACCUGAGGAAGCACAUGUGGUUGUCUUGAUAAAAACAGACAGAAAUGCAUUCAGUCUGCUAGGGGAUAAGGUGCUGCAAUAGUUCCCUAGUACUGUGAUCACAAAUCACUACAAACCAGGUAGUUUAAAACAACAAAAAUUCAUCCUUUUCCAUUUCUGUGAGCCAGAUGUCCAAAGUCAAGAUGUCAGCAGGACCACACUCCCUCCAGGGGUUCAAGGGGGGACCUCUUCAGGCUCAGGCACCCCUUGGCUUGUGGUAGCAUCUCUCCAACCACUGCCCCACCUCCAUGUAACUGUCUUUGUGUGUGUCAGGUCCCUCUGAGCUUGUCUCUUCUAAGGAAUUUGUGACCCACCAAGAUAAUCAAUAAUAGUAUCUAUCAAUCACACCUCUGGCCUAUAAGUUAAUAUUCAUUCUUUUACUAUAUUAGAUAUUAUUAAAAAGUAUAUCUUUGGAAGAAUUUUAUUCAGGCUGAUCACAGGUGUAGUAAAGUGCUCAUAACUCCCUCUAGAGAAAUGCCAAAUGACAGUUUUAGCUGGAUGCCACAGUCCAGAUUCAGGGGUGAAGUGGGAUUAGUCACUGCAUCAGUGCCUUGUCACCAAUGGUCAGGGGACCCACUAGGGCAGUACUUCCAGCCAAGGUAAGGUGGCGACAAGCUCAGGUUCUAGGACCAGAUCCCCUAAAAUGAAAUCUGUUCUGCCACCUUUGAGCUGCAUGAACUUCAGCAAACGAUCUGUCUGCUUUGGUGGUGGUUGUGCCUCAGUUUCCUCGUCGGCCAUAGGAGCCCAAGCAGCACGCCUCAGGGAGGCAGUGAGAGAUGAAACGAGUCUGUGUGCAUGUUGAGCACACGGUCCUACUCCUUGGCACACCACAAACAUGGAACAGGUUGCCUGUUGAUAUGGUGUUUGUUUACCAGUGAGGAAACAGGGGCCCGAUGAAGUUCAGCAUCACUGCCAAACUCAGAGAUCUAAUCAGGGGAAGAGACAAAGGCCAGGCUUGACUGCCCCCUGUGUCUUGCUCAGCUACCAUGAUAUGCCCUUUCACCUCUGGAAACACAGGACAGAAGGUCCCAUUCAGAGAGCCUGGCGGGUCUUCUUUAAUUUCAGACAUUAUUUGGGUGUGUUAAAUUGAGUGUGUUAAGAGCAUGGGUUUAUUUACACUUUAAGUUUUCUCUCCAGGUAUUGGAGUAUAAUAGGAAAAUUCGCUGGACAGAACAAAUUCUCUGAAAUGCACACAGAUUUUUCAGCACCUUAGCCCGGGAGAAAGCAGAAAUCCCUGCACAGAACUCCACAGUCAAGAGGUUGACUUCUGCAAGCAAACCUGGAGCUGUCAGUAGCCUUCCUCCUUGACAUGGGCCAACUUCCACCAAAGAAAAAAGAAGUCGAAGAACCUAUGUUUCAUCAACACCUUCUGCUAAAUUCUCCUGUGGCCCUGCACCUGGUACCCACACUCCUGACUGCACUGUUACUCCGUGCUGUAGUGAGCAUAUGGACACAUUGUUUAUCUUGAAGUUCCUUGAAGAAGCAGUGAGAAGAGAUGGAGAUUGAUGCACUGGUGCUGGGGGUCCUCAGGGUUCCUGGUUUCCUUGAGGACAGCUGGAAGAAGCCCCAUAGUGGGUGUCCCAGGAGUCAGCCACAGCAACAAGCGGAGCUUGCUCAAGCCACAAGGCUGGAAAGGACACUAGAAAGGGACCAUGGGGAAUUCCCCUGGGGCCUCAGAAUUAAGACUCCAGACAAGCUCGAGGUUGCUGAGGGAGACAAAGACAAUUCUUGAUUUGUAGCAAGAGGUGAUCUUAUGGGCAGAGGGCUGCUUGGAGCACUGGCUACUGGUCACCAGGAAAGGACACCUUGGAGUGUGUCUGCUACCUCCUCUCUCUGUCCUACUCUAAGAAAGAGGAGUGAGGACAUGAAGGUGGCUCUUAAAAAUAAAAUCA
This is a long non-coding RNA of Chinchilla lanigera (long-tailed chinchilla), 2373 nucleotides long. RefSeq lists it as uncharacterized. Lineage: Eukaryota; Metazoa; Chordata; Mammalia; Rodentia; Chinchillidae. The transcript has 4 exons. The record is from RefSeq and is a predicted model, not a curated record.